Molecule: non-coding RNA, 556 nt
Organism: Salmo salar (Atlantic salmon)
Lineage: Eukaryota; Metazoa; Chordata; Actinopteri; Salmoniformes; Salmonidae
Source: RefSeq, a predicted model, not a curated record
UCCAUGUCAAUGCAAACCCUCCCUCUGAUUAUUUCCCUACUUAAACAGUGUCUGUCUGUCAUUAGAUGCCCUCUGUGUACUGGAGAGAAGAGAAAAGCAGCUCCCACUAGUUCAGCUUCAAAACAAGCCAUGUUCCCUGCAUCUCUGCUGCUGCUGGCAUCUGUCUCCUGUGUCUGAUGUGAUAUUGAACUCAUCCAUUCUGGUCCAGUGGUUAUAAAACGAGGAGAGUCUUUCAGCAUCUUCUGCAAAUUCUCAGGGUUUUCUAUAUAUUCUUACUGUCCUCGCUGGAUACGACAAGCUGAAGGCAAAGCUUUGGAGUAUGUUGGUUGUACAUGUAUUAGUAGUACUUCUACUGUAGACUCACUGAAGAUCACUUCUAGUUAUGACAGCUCUAGCAGUACAGUGUUUGAUUGUAUAAUAAGACUCCUUAAAUUAAAUAGAACAGAGAUGCUUCACCACAUCAAAUUUGUAACCGAAUACAAGCCCAUCACUGGUGGUGCUGGAAAUGUAUAUCUGAGUUGUUUACCAAUUAUACUCCUGAUAUGACUUGAUGGUA